RNAcentral lists this ribosomal RNA (253 nucleotides) under uncultured bacterium. Its description in RNAcentral is "partial 16S ribosomal RNA". It matches the Rfam family "Bacterial small subunit ribosomal RNA", at positions 524 to 776 of the family's 1533-position model. The record is from RNAcentral.
UACGGAGGAUCCAAGCGUUAUCCGGAUUUAUUGGGUUUAAAGGGUGCGUAGGCGGAUUGAUAAGUUAGAGGUAAAAUGUCCGAGCUCAACUCGGGAACUGCCUCUAAUACUGUUGAUCUAGAGAGUAGAUGCGGUAGGCGGAAUGUAUGGUGUAGCGGUGAAAUGCUUAGAGAUCAUACAGAACACCGAUUGCGAAGGCAGCUUACCAAUCUAUAUCUGACGUUGAGGCACGAAAGCGUGGGGAGCAAACAGG